This 440-nucleotide ribosomal RNA is filed under the name uncultured bacterium. Its description in RNAcentral is "partial 16S ribosomal RNA". It matches the Rfam family "Bacterial small subunit ribosomal RNA", at positions 338 to 795 of the family's 1533-position model. The record is from RNAcentral.
CCUACGGGCGACAGCAGUGGGGAAUAUUGCACAAUGGGCGCAAGCCUGAUGCAGCGACGCCGCGUGAGCGAAGAAGUAUUUCGGUAUGUAAAGCUCUAUCAGCAGGGAAGAAAAUGACGGUACCUGACUAAGCAGCUCCGGCUAACUACGUGCCAGCAGCCGCGGUAAUACGUAUGGAGCAAGCGUUAUCCGGAAUUACUGGGUGUAACGGGAGCGUAGACGGAUGUGCAAGUCUGAUGUGAAAGGCUGGGGCUUAACCCCUGGACUGCAUUGGAAACUGUAAAUCUUGAGUGCAGGAGAGGUAAGCGGAAUUCCUAGUGUAGCGGUGAAAUGCGUAGAUAUUAGGAGGAACACCAGUGGCGAAGGCGGCUUACUGGACGGUAACUGACGUUGAGGCUCGAAAGCGUGGGGAGCAAACAGGAUUAGAUACCCUAGUAGUC